AGAGUUUGAUCCUGGCUCAGGAUGAACGCUGGCGGCGUGCUUAACACAUGCAAGUCGAACGAAGCACUUUAUUUGAUUUCCUUCGGGACUGAUUAUUUUGUGACUGAGUGGCGGACGGGUGAGUAACGCGUGGGUAACCUGCCUUGUACAGGGGGAUAACAGUUGGAAACGGCUGCUAAUACCGCAUAAGCGCACAGCAUCGCAUGAUGCAGUGUGAAAAACUCCGGUGGUAUAAGAUGGACCCGCGUUGGAUUAGCUAGUUGGUGAGGUAACGGCCCACCAAGGCGACGAUCCAUAGCCGACCUGAGAGGGUGACCGGCCACAUUGGAACUGAGACACGGUCCAAACUCCUACGGGAGGCAGCAGUGGGGAAUAUUGCACAAUGGGCGAAAGCCUGAUGCAGCAACGCCGCGUGAGCGAUGAAGGCCUUCGGGUCGUAAAGCUCUGUCCUCAAGGAAGAUAAUGACGGUACUUGAGGAGGAAGCCCCGGCUAACUACGUGCCAGCAGCCGCGGUAAUACGUAGGGGGCUAGCGUUAUCCGGAUUUACUGGGCGUAAAGGGUGCGUAGGCGGUCUUUUAAGUCAGGAGUGAAAGGCUACGGCUCAACCGUAGUAAGCUCUUGAAACUGGAGGACUUGAGUGCAGGAGAGGAGAGUGGAAUUCCUAGUGUAGCGGUGAAAUGCGUAGAUAUUAGGAGGAACACCAGUAGCGAAGGCGGCUCUCUGGACUGUAACUGACGCUGAGGCACGAAAGCGUGGGGAGCAAACAGGAUUAGAUACCCUGGUAGUCCACGCCGUAAA
This 799-nucleotide ribosomal RNA is filed under the name uncultured bacterium. RNAcentral describes it as "bacterial SSU rRNA". It matches the Rfam family "Bacterial small subunit ribosomal RNA", at positions 8 to 806 of the family's 1533-position model. The record is from RNAcentral.